GACGAACGCUGGCGGCGUGCUUAACACAUGCAAGUCGAACGGAAAGGCCCUGCUUUUGUGGGGUGCUCGAGUGGCGAACGGGUGAGUAACACGUGAGUAACCUGCCCUUGACUUUGGGAUAACUUCAGGAAACUGGGGCUAAUACCGGAUAGGAGCUCCUGCUGCAUGGUGGGGGUUGGAAAGUUUCGGCGGUUGGGGAUGGACUCGCGGCUUAUCAGCUUGUUGGUGGGGUAGUGGCUUACCAAGGCUUUGACGGGUAGCCGGCCUGAGAGGGUGACCGGCCACAUUGGGACUGAGAUACGGCCCAGACUCCUACGGGAGGCAGCAGUGGGGAAUAUUGCACAAUGGGCGGAAGCCAGAUGCAGCAACGCCGCGUGCGGGAUGACGGCCUUCGGGUUGUAAACCGCUUUCGCCUGUGACGAAGCGUGAGUGACGGUAAUGGGUAAAGAAGCACCGGCUAACUACGCG
RNAcentral lists this ribosomal RNA (468 nucleotides) under uncultured bacterium. RNAcentral describes it as "partial 16S ribosomal RNA". It matches the Rfam family "Bacterial small subunit ribosomal RNA", at positions 28 to 507 of the family's 1533-position model. The record is from RNAcentral.